GCGCGUAGUGCAGCUCGUAGUCGCACGCUGUGGCCGCAAAGGCAGAGGCGAGGAGAGGCAGGGCAGCUUACGGCGGAAGCGGAGUGAGGCGGGGGCACUGCGGAGGCGGAGGUGCGUCUGGCUCGAAGACGGCGGCUCAGCAGUAGGUGGAAGGCCGGCUGAGGUGAGGCUCGGUAGCUGGAGACGAGGUUGCAACCGCGGAAGCGCGCGGCCGCGGUCAGAGUCGGCUGAAACACGGCGACCGCAACUCGUCGCGGGAAGGCGACUUGAGGCAAGGCGGCUCGAGGCCGGCCACGGCAAGGGCGGCGACGAGGUCGGGCGACUCGAGGCGGCGCGGUGGCAGAGGCGGGUCGAGGCCGGGGGCUCGAGGGAGAGGCAGGCCCGCGGGCCGACUCGUCGCGGAGGUGACGCUGCGUCGGCAGAGGCGUGCCAGGCAGGCCAUGAUGGGGUGAGCCACGGCGGCGCCGGCUGCUGCUCGCAGCAGGGUCAAGGCGGCGGCGACUUGAAGCCGCGUAGAGAGCCGCCGUGGCGAGGCGAGGUCGAAGUGGUAGCGGGCGGCUCGCGGCAGGGGCGCUUUGGCACUAGAGGUGGCUUGGAGGCCCCCCGACGGUGAGCGAUGCGGUGAAGCCACGGCGAAGGUGACCGAGGCGCAUGCCAGCGCGGAAGGAAGUGGUUGUCCAGCUCGAGGCGCGGUGCAGCGGAGCACGUGGAGGCGGCUGGGCGCGGCGCGGCCGUGGACAGAGGCGUGUUAUUGCGGAUGGGCACGGGCCGGAGUGGAAGCGCUUGGGCCGGAGCGGGGCUCGAGGCUGCUCUGGCGAGGGCGGCUCGCAGGCAAAGGCAGCGACGUGGUGGUGGCUCGGCCACAGCCGGUGGCUCGAAGGAGAAGACCCAGGCGGAGGCCGAGUCCGUGGCCUCAUCCACUUCCCGUCGUAGCCUUCCCUUUUUUCCGCAAAUGAUAACGCCCACAUGCGGCAUGAAGAAAUAUGGCCGUGGAGUAACUGGUCCCGAGCACAUAUGCUUGGGAUAUCUGGGCCAAGCCUUUAUACGGAGAGUUUAGAAACGCUGGUAAAUGUGUACCGUGUUAUGGAAUAUAUACGUGUCAGGCCUUGUUUGUGGGCCAGGUUUGGGGCAUAGGCAUAGUGGUUUCUGGACGGCCGUCUUGCACUAACGGGCUGAGCCGUGGCCCAGGUUCGCGUAUUUCAGUCUGAUCUAUGGCUCGGAUAAGUCGCUCCUGUCAGAGCGAGUCAGCCUCGAAUGGAUGUCGAGAGUCUUCUUCCCCAAUGCGAUAACUCGCAAGGGAGAGGCUGAGGGAGUGUGAGAACAGGUGACGGACGCGCAAUGGAGUUCCUCAUGCAGAGAUCGACUCUGAUUGAAAAGCUCGGGGAGAGUUGGUCCCGGGAGAUACACUGGCGGAUGGUACCAGGCGGACGUUGGUAGAGGUGGCGCCGCCGGAGGGCACGAGUGUGAGCGAUGAAGGGUUGAUCUGAGGCGCAUCUGGACUGGCAAGGAGCAAAGAUGGUCGAAUUUGCAGGGCGGCUCAAGCUGCAGCAGGUAGAAGGUUCGCCUCCGACUUCUGAGUUGUCGACAUGGAAGAUGAAUCCCCAGGCUCCUGGAUGGAAUAAGAGGCUGAGAAUUUGUGUUGCCGCUCCUAGCAGGACCGCUUUCCCAAAAUCGCGUUAGUGCAUUUGAGAAGGCAGUAAAGGUGUUCAUAGAAAACCCGACUGAAAAUGUUAUCUCUCCAGCGCUGGGUACUACUUUUGACUCGCUGGGUGAAGCAUAUGAUUUCUACAACUUGUAUCCUUGGGAGAAGGGGCUUGGGAUUAGGUAUGGUAAAAUCCAGCUCAAUGAUGAGAGGAGGAAGUGUAUGCAGGAAAUUUUCUGUGGAUGCUCGGUAAGGAACAACAUUCCGCUAGGUGAUGCUAGUUUACUGGAUGCUGUUCUGGAGAUCAACGCAAUGCAUGUUCAUACUUUUCAGGCAUCAUCAGCUUGCUCGGCAACUUGGAGCAGAGCUUGAUGCGGAAUAUGAGAUGGAGAGAGCAACCCGCGCACCGACACUGAAUGUGCAGACGGGUUUGGUUCAAGGGGUUAUUGACAUCUCCGACGAUGAAAUCAAAGAUGAAGUUGAUUUGGAAGAAAGCAAUGAUGACGUUGAUUCAAAAGAAUGGUCUAAUGAUCCUAAGCAUGGUAAUCUUAUUGAGACAAACAGAAGGCUAAGGGAGCAAGAGUAGAAAGAUGCAGAAGUCGUGAAGAUGUAUCAAGAAAUGUAUGAUAAAAAUGUUGAUCUGCAAGAAGAACAAGGCCGUGAGGUUGCAAUCAUGUGUCAAAAAAUGUAUGAUCAAAAUGGUACCGAAGCUCAGAUCGCCAAUGCAUUAGCAACAUAAAACUUGCUCAGGAGGUUGAGCCUGCAGGUCAAGAAACAAGCCCCACAGAGGGUGGCCAUAGAGGACAGGCGUACAUUAGUGGUGCAUCCCCGAUAAGGAACAUGAGUUCCCUAAAGGGGCUAUGGAGACGGAAAGGGAAGAAGAAGUGGAACAGAGGAUCAAAGAGGAAGCAGAAGGUGUGGUUCUCCAACAUUGUGGAGACCAUAUGCCUAUCAGAUUCCUCUGAGAGCGAAGACAGUUCUAGCGAUGAUGGAACACAUCAAGCAGGCAUGACGAUGAGCUCAUACAUCUUCCUGGUAGCAAUAAAAGAUGGUUUUGAUACAUCGGUGGCAAAUGACAUUCUGUCGGCGAGGUCAAUUAGGGCGGAAGAGCCACGGAUAGCCAUGUCAAGAAAUCCAGCAAGCAGUGGAGAUGUUGUUGCUCCGCACAGACGUGCAAGGAAGUUAUGUGCAAGGAAGAAGCUGAGGAAGUCAUGGCCGCCGAUCUAGUUUCUUGCGGUGCGGUUGGAGAGGAGAAGAGCAUCAAGAUGCAGGCAGACGCAGACAUCCGCAAGCCCACUUUGUCCACGCUGCAAAAAAGGUAAACAGACUCGUGGAAGAGCCACAGGAUUUAAGUGGGUUGGACAGACUUAUCCUGCCUGAUGUGCUAGGCCUGCCUAGCCUGCGAGGAGAGAGCACAUAUAAGUGAAUAGAUUGGCGGCUGGUAGGGCAAGCUUCCGCCGUUCCCCACAGCUAGGUCGGCGUCUCGCUCAUCCCUGCUGGCGCCACCCCUGUUUCCCGCUCGUCCCCGUGUGCACUGUCUGUCUCCGCCCCUACUACCUUCUCGCAGCCACCCGUGGAUCAAGAUGCCAUGUGUUGCGGUGGAUGAGCACAAGAAUGCAGCAGAGGAGGAAAAGAAUCCUGCGUGGGAGGGUGAGGAGGACAAGAAUCCGGCGAGAAAGGAGGUGCAGUUCAAGGGAAGCAGCUGGUCUUCCCUGGCAUUAGAAAGACUACCAGUGUGGACACAACAAGUAUGAAGUAACUGAAGAAGAUAGAAGGACAUUAACCGGACCUAGCGAAGAUAGUGUAUUAGUGUGUUUCAGUGGGUGUAAACAGUUAACUGUUGAGGUUGAUGCUGCCAACUUUAAGGCUGCAAUUUCUACUUUUGGGUUUGUUUGACAAACGAAAUGAUGUUCCUUGCUGAGAAAAUUCAUCCAUAUCCCUUUGUCCUUGAAU
Molecule: long non-coding RNA, 3595 nt
Organism: Triticum aestivum (bread wheat)
Lineage: Eukaryota; Viridiplantae; Streptophyta; Magnoliopsida; Poales; Poaceae
Exons: 8
Source: RefSeq, a predicted model, not a curated record